UACGGGAGGCAGCAGUGGGGAAUUUUGGACAAUGGGGGCAACCCUGAUCCAGCCAUGCCGCGUGCGGGAAGAAGGCCUUCGGGUUGUAAACCGCUUUUAGUCGGGAAGAAAAGGCCAGGUCUAAUACAUCUGGUUCUUGACGGUACCGGCGGAAUAAGCACCGGCUAACUACGUGCCAGCAGCCGCGGUAAUACGUAGGGUGCGAGCGUUAAUCGGAAUUACUGGGCGCAAAGCGUGCGCAGGCGGUUCGUUAAGUCUGAUGUGAAAGCCCCGGGCUCAACCUGGGAAUGGCAUUGGAAACUGGCGAGCUGGAGUGCGGCAGAGGGGGGUGGAAUUCCGCGUGUAGCAGUGAAAUGCGUAGAGAUGCGGAGGAACACCGAUGGCGAAGGCAGCCCCCUGGGCCGACACUGACGCUCAGGCACGAAAGCGUGGGGAGCAAACAGGAUUAGAUACCCUGGUAGUCCACGCCCUAAACGAUGUCGACUAGGUGUUGGGAGAGAGAUCUCUUGGUACCGUAGCUAACGCAUGAAGUCGACCGCCUGGGGAGUACGGCCGCAAGGUUAAAACUCAAAGGAAUUGACGGGGA
Molecule: ribosomal RNA, 586 nt
Filed under: uncultured beta proteobacterium
Lineage: Bacteria; Pseudomonadati; Pseudomonadota; Betaproteobacteria
Description: bacterial SSU rRNA
Rfam family: Bacterial small subunit ribosomal RNA
Source: RNAcentral